RNAcentral lists this ribosomal RNA (495 nucleotides) under uncultured bacterium. RNAcentral describes it as "partial 16S ribosomal RNA". It matches the Rfam family "Bacterial small subunit ribosomal RNA", at positions 28 to 507 of the family's 1533-position model. The record is from RNAcentral.
GACGAACGCUGGCGGCGUGCCUAAUACAUGCAAGUCGAACGCUGAAGGAGGAGCUUGCUUCUCUGGAUGAGUUGCGAACGGGUGAGUAACGCGUAGGUAACCUGCCUGGUAGCGGGGGAUAACUAUUGGAAACGAUAGCUAAUACCGCAUAAGAUUGACUAUUGCAUGAUAGUCAGUUAAAAGGUGCAAUUGCAUCACUACCAGAUGGACCUGCGUUGUAUUAGCUAGUUGGUGGGGUAACGGCUCACCAAGGCGACGAUACAUAGCCGACCUGAGAGGGUGAUCGGCCACACUGGGACUGAGACACGGCCCAGACUCCUACGGGAGGCAGCAGGAGGGAAUCUUCGGCAAUGGACGGAAGUCUGACCGAGCAACGCCGCGUGAGUGAAGAAGGUUGUCGGAUCGUAAAGCUCUGUUGUAAGAGAAGAACGAGUGUGAGAGUGGAAAGUUCACACUGUGACGGUAUCUGACCAGAAAGGGACGGCUAACUACGUG